RNAcentral lists this ribosomal RNA (467 nucleotides) under uncultured bacterium. Its description in RNAcentral is "partial 16S ribosomal RNA". It matches the Rfam family "Bacterial small subunit ribosomal RNA", at positions 28 to 507 of the family's 1533-position model. The record is from RNAcentral.
GACGAACGCUGGCGGCGUGCUUAACACAUGCAAGUCGAACGGAAAGGCCCUGCUUUGUGGGGUGCUCGAGUGGCGAACGGGUGAGUAACACGUGAGUAACCUGCCCUUGACUUUGGGAUAACUUCAGGAAACUGGGGCUAAUACCGGAUAGGAGCUCCUGCUGCAUGGUGGGGGUUGGAAAGUUUCGGCGGUUGGGGAUGGACUCGCGGCUUAUCAGCUUGUUGGUGGGGUAGUGGCUUACCAAGGCUUUGACGGGUAGCCGGCCUGAGAGGGUGACCGGCCACAUUGGGACUGAGAUACGGCCCAGACUCCUACGGGAGGCAGCAGUGGGGAAUAUUGCACAAUGGGCGGAAGCCUGAUGCAGCAACGCCGCGUGCGGGAUGACGGCCUUCGGGUUGUAAACCGCUUUCGCCUGUGACGAAGCGCGAGUGACGGUAAUGGGUAAAGAAGCACCGGCUAACUACGUG